AAUAAGUGUUUUAUGGCACUUUUUAAAUCCAUAUCCACCUUGUGUGCAAUGUCAGUCGAUCUUCUUCAUGGAGGUCGACCAAACAUCAACCUUUAUUUUUUAACUCUUUGUCUGAAAAAUAUUAUGAAUAAACAAUCCAAAAAACAACUCUUAACAACGGAUAUCUUGGCUCU
This 173-nucleotide unclassified non-coding RNA is filed under the name rhizosphere metagenome. Its description in RNAcentral is "partial ribosomal RNA internal transcribed spacer region". The record is from RNAcentral.